CAAUAGCGUAUAUUAAAGUUGUUGCAGUUAAAAAGCUCGUAGUUGGAUUUCUGAUCGAGACAUCAGGUCGGGUCCGAGAGGAUCAUGUACUUUGAUUUUGUUUUGAUCAUCCUUGGGGAGAGCAUUUCUGGCAUUCAGUUGUCGGGAUUGGGAUCCUCAUCGUUUACUGUGAAAAAAUUAGAGUGUUCAAAGCAGGCCUCGGCCUCUGAAUACAUUAGCAUGGAAUAAUAAGAUAGGACUUUGGUGGUCUAUUUUGUUGGUUUGCACGCCAAAGUAAUGAUUAAUAGGGACAGUUGGGGGUAUUCGUAUUCAAUUGUCAGAGGUGAAAUUCUUGGAUUUAUGGAAGACGAACUACUGCGAAAGCAUUUACCAAGGAUGUUUUCAUUAA
This 388-nucleotide ribosomal RNA is filed under the name uncultured eukaryote. RNAcentral's name for it is "partial 18S ribosomal RNA". It matches the Rfam family "Eukaryotic small subunit ribosomal RNA", at positions 592 to 976 of the family's 1831-position model. The record is from RNAcentral.